ACGACCAUGAUCAGUCUGAGGAAAUUGUUCCUCUGCGGAAGGUUUGUCGUCGGCCUGAAACUGAUUAUAGGUUGCAGCAACUAAAUGCUGAAUCUGUGAAGCAGCAGAAAAUAGGUAAUGAUCCUACAACAGGCAAUACUAUGAAGGUUUACCCCCCAGCUGAUACACCACAGAAAGCCCAAACCGAAUCAAAGAUGAAACUAGCUGAACCAACACAAAAGCAGCCUGCACCGGAGUACACCAUCAAGCCAGAACCCAAUGUGUUUCCUAUGCCGCAAAAGCCUCGUACUGAUUCUCUAACAGGAAAUACUUUGGGGGAAACAACACCCAAGCUUAUGGAAGAAAUGGCGGAGAAGCCGGUAGCUGAAACAGCUGAGGCGCCUCAGGAAGAAAAAAUAGAGACGCCUCUGGCAGAAAUAACAAACAAAGCACCAGCAGAAGCACCAGAACAGCCUCCUGCCGAAACAACUCCUAAGCCUCUGGCAGAUUCUACAUCGAAGCCAGCUGAAGCAACAGAGGUGCUACCUGCUGAAACAACUCCUAAUCCUCUGUCUGUUUCUACAUCGAAGCAAGCUGAACCAACAGAGGAGACACCUGCUGAAACAACUCUUAAACCUCCAGCUGCAUCAACAUUGAAGCCAGAUGAAGCACCAGAGCAGCCUCCCGCUGAAACAACACCUGAACCUCCAGCUUCUUCAACGUCAAACCCAGUUGAAACACCAAAGAAUCCUCCUGCUGAAACUACUUCCGUAGAGGAAACAACUCUUGAGCCUCCUGCUGAAACAACUCCUGAACCUCCGGCUGAUGCAACAUCAAAGCCAGCCGAACAAUCAGAGGAGCCUCCUGCU
RNAcentral lists this unclassified non-coding RNA (848 nucleotides) under Hevea brasiliensis (rubber tree). The record is from RNAcentral. Lineage: Eukaryota; Viridiplantae; Streptophyta; Magnoliopsida; Malpighiales; Euphorbiaceae.